This is a non-coding RNA of Sus scrofa (pig), 766 nucleotides long. The record is from RefSeq and is a predicted model, not a curated record. Lineage: Eukaryota; Metazoa; Chordata; Mammalia; Artiodactyla; Suidae.
UUGGUGUCAGUUUCCUCAUGAGAGAGGCUCUUCUGUGACUGUGACAGAAGACACAAAAUCAGGGGUCACACUGUUUGGGUUUGAAUCCUGGCUUUAGUGCACACUAGCUGCAUCCCCUGGAAAGUUAGUUAACCUCACGAAGCCCGAGUACCUUUAUCUGUAAAAUGGGCAUGCUAUUAUUAGUAGAUACUUCAGAGAGUGAUUGUGAAGAUUAAAUGAAGUAAUCCGUAUACAGGUUAGCAAAUUCCUAGAAAUAGGAUUAAUAGAGUGGGAGCCAAUCACUCUUAGGAAGACUGAUUCUUCUCCUCUUGGAGAAGGAAAACUUCCAUGGUUUCCAGGAAAGAGUGAUUCCUUCCUUCCAUGCAGAAGGAGCUCAAUCGGUGUAAAAGUCCUGGUAUCUUUCCUCCCUUUUACUUGUUGCACCUUUAAGGGGCAAGUAGGGUGGAGUAACCGACUUGACGGUAAAUUCAGGAAGAACAAACUGACCCUGCUUGGUUCAGUACCUCCCUUUCUUCCUCUUGAGCGUGAAUUGCCUGCAUGAAGUAUGUUUACUUCUCUGUGGCUCCAUGCUGUACAUUUUACAGGAGAGUGCCUCUCCAUUCGGAGAUCUGCUAUGAUUCAGGAUAUCUGUAACUCAGAGAGAGAGAGAGAAAUUCCUUAUUGGACUCAACAACAACUGUGUCUUUUGAUGCUGGUGAUGAUUAAAUUCCAUGUGUAUGAAAACACAUAGCAUAGCAUUUGGUCAAAUAUAGAUGUUUAUAAAUCA